This 3242-nucleotide long non-coding RNA is filed under the name Helianthus annuus (common sunflower). Lineage: Eukaryota; Viridiplantae; Streptophyta; Magnoliopsida; Asterales; Asteraceae. The record is from RNAcentral.
UCCCAUUUUGAGCUAUGCGACCUGAUCCAUCUAUGCAAUCCGGAUUCCAUAUAUAAACCCUUUUUGUUUUUUUGGAACUUAUAGAAAACCCUAAUCUCCCACUCAUCUUCGCCGCUUCAUCUAAUUGGAACUUAUAGAAAACCUAAUAUCCUACUCUUCUUAGCUGUUUCAUCUAAAUAAUCACAACGAAUCACUCCCAGCUUGAAGUCGAUCUCGGCCAUCGCUGAAAUCCAAAAGAAGAAGCAGUUACUAUUAGAUUUAGGCCUUUAAGUUCGUUGCCGGUUACUUCACAACUGUUUUCCUGCUAUUGUUUCCGAUGACCCUUUAAUUGCUCAUGAUCAAUGGAAGCCACUGAUGUCUUCUGUAAAGAUUUUGUUCGCGAGAAACGACCCGGUAGGAACUUACUUCGCACUAAACCGGUUUGCUUCCUUUUCUCCUACACCUAAGUUCCUCUUCUGAAUUUGUUUUUUUUUUUCUUGAUUGAUCUUAGUUAUGUACUUAUGUUUAAUUCAUUCAAUUUCAUCACGUUCUUUGUUUCGCAAACAAUCGGUUUAAACCAAUUGUCGGUGACGUAAUUAAGUUUUGGACACCCGGUUGUGCUAAUUCUUUUGAGAAGCUCUAUAAGGUACAAACCAGCAUUAAGGAACCGGUGACAUAGAAAAUGACAAAAAUUUUGGCAAAAAGAAAGACGGCAUGUUGUGGAAUACUUGCAAAGACGGGUAAUUUGACCAAGAAGUUGAUAUGAAUGGAGGAGGGCUCGGAUGCUAGGAAAACUGUAAAGGGUAAGGUUCCAGUUUCCAACCAAGAGCCUGUGAACUCUCACAAUCUGCUUCCUCAAAACGAUUACUAUUUCAAAAGAUUCUGCUUCAUUUCAUCUCAGCCGAUUCUUCGACACUUGCAGCAAUUCUGAUCUCUGUUUCACACUCAAAUUUUGUAUUUUUGUUUUAUUUUGGCUGACUUCUCAGCAACUGGUAGUAUGAAUCCAAUGAUCCGGACAAUGAUUACACCUCCGUUUCAGCAGAUGGCACCUGCACCAUGUUUUCCACCAUCACCACCAGUGACCAGCUACCAGCUACCAGCUGACCCAAACGAAUAGUCACGAGGGCUUGCUCUUUUCCUGAUCAUGUGGCAUACAAUAAAAAAAUAUAUAUGAUUACACAUAAAUAUUUACUAUCUCCUUGGAGUAAAAUGUUGCGUAGAGAAGUCGUGUAACUAUCAGUUGACUGAGAAACAUAACCAGUUGGCAGUGUAACGUGUGCAAUUGAUUUCGAUAGGGUGAGCGGAUCUUUGGUUCAAUUGAGGGGCCUAUUUUUCUACAUGCACAAGGCCUUAGAAUUCUUAGGGAUUCUUAAAGACGACUCUGGCGCAUAUCAAACUGGUCAAAUGCAUAUAGUUAGCAAAGGCGCACCCGAGAAGAUACUCAAUCCUGCACAUAACAAACCAGAGAUCGCGAACAAGAACUGCUAGCUGGAACAAAAGAGAGCAUGGGUGGCUUGUGGAAGUUAGUCGACCUUCUUCCGCUAUUCAACCCUCUACAACAUGACAGCGCCAAAACGAUCAGCAUAGCUUUAUAUCUUGGAUUGAAGAAACACAUCCAAGGUUGCGGAUUGGGUUCAGCUGCAAGGGUAGCUAAGGAACUAGGUUAUGCUACAAUCCAAUGAUGUGGAAAUGGAAGUUAGAGACGGGAAAUGUGGAGUUCUUGGUUAGCCAUGUUAGAAAAUGUCUGGAAAACUGGAGGUGCCUAAGGUGAAUUACUUUGCGUAGAGAGCGGUCGAUGGGAAGAUUCCUAGGGCUUCCAGUUUUGCAGUAAGAGACGCCCACUUCAGCGACGGCUAUAGGAUACGUGUGGAUAUUGCAGACUAUAUGUUGGUCGAAUGCUCGAAUGAUGGUACAUGAAAGUUCGAUGGUUCUUAAUAGCGACCUGGUGGAGAUUUAGUGUAAUGGAAAUUUUCGGCGAAGAAGGACAUGUCGCUGAUGAGUGGUGGUGCUGGUGGACAGUGAUGAUUAAAAGUGGGUGACAGUUCCAGUAGCAUGUCAGGUAACUGUUGCAGAAUGAGCAUAUGCGCAUGAUCCUUCAGGGGAUCUAUAUGUCACGUUCCUGGAAGAAUGAAUAAUUGUUUGGAUGAUUCGGCUAGCAAGGAAAAUCUUCAACUUCUGAAUUUGGCGUGGAUUUUCAGAAAGUUUAUCAGUUGAAAUAAAGUGAGUUAUCUUAUGAUUUAUUACUAAUGAUUUUGACUAUAUAUACAAUUUUUCCAGUUAUAAUAUGACUCACGCGGAUUAUAUCUCUACGAUAGUCACCAAGUAUGGGUUGGGGAUCUGGGCCAGAGUUAUGAUUCAAACAUCACACUUUCACAUUAUGAAAUGAACCCUAUAAAAGGGCAAGCGGUGUUGUUCGUUGGAGACAUUUCGUAUGCCGAUAACUAUCCUAAUCAUGAUAAUAAGAGAUGGGAUUCAUUGGGAAGGUUUGCAGAGAGAAGUAUCGUGUAUCAACCAUGGAUAUGGACCACGGGAAAUCAUGAACUUCAUUAUGCCCCUAAAAUCGUAGUCAUAAGGGACUCUAGGCUGAGGUUAUUGGUAAGAACCAAAUCAGAUGCAGGACAAGAGUUUUGUAAAAGGAAGAAAAAGAAGAGUCAUUUUGAUUGUAUUUGAUAUACGUAUAUACAUAAUAUUACUUAAGAUGAACAUAAAGUGACUUUUGCACUUUGUUUGUGUUCAACUCCAUUUUUCACUACUUUGAAGGUUUAUUUGAGGUCUUUUACUUUUUUUAUUUAUUAGAAAAGGAAAAUAUAUUAGACACUAUCGGAAAUAUGGAUCAUCAGUGAAGAAAAGUUUAGUUUAACCUGCAUUCAAGCGACCGCGUCUUGAAAUACCAUCACUAUUGCCAGCAUGUAAGGUAUAUGUUACAUAGAGUAUCAGUGUCAAGAGUGAUGAUUGAAGAAGUCAAAGCCGUUGCAAUCCGUUGGGUAAAAAAAUAGAUCGAAAUAAGUUGUAAUAGUUUUUGGUUGUGUCUUGGCGCUUUAUUUUGGGUUUGUAUUGUACUAUGGCUAAUGGAUUGCCUCCAUGUACUGUAAUAUGUUUCUUUUUUGAGGAUUCUAUACAAUUGGUGCUUGCUACUCCCAAGAUUUCUAAUGAUAUUAUGUUGGCCUUUUAAAAAAAACCUGGCUCAUGUUGAAAAAAGACUACAUUUGGUAAGCGAAGUUAGAACGAGAGAGAAUACACUCUUUUGGAUAGAUAAUUGUUUA